Molecule: unclassified non-coding RNA, 379 nt
Filed under: plant metagenome
Description: partial contains 5.8S ribosomal RNA, internal transcribed spacer 2, and large subunit ribosomal RNA
Rfam family: 5.8S ribosomal RNA (bases 1-106)
Source: RNAcentral
CGAAAUGCGAUAAGUAAUGUGAAUUGCAGAAUUCAGUGAAUCAUCGAAUCUUUGAACGCACCUUGCGCUCCUUGGUAUUCCUUGGAGCAUGCCUGUUUGAGUAUCAUGAAAUCUUCAAAGUAAAUCUUUUGUUAACUCAAUUGGUUUCUACUUUGGUAUUGGAGGUCUCUGCAGCUUCACACCUGCUCCUCUUUGUUCAUUAGCUGGAUCUCAGUGUUAUGCUUGGUUCCACUCGGCGUGAUAAGUUAUCUAUCGCUGAGGACACUGUAAAAGGUGGCCAAGGUAAAUGCAGAUGAACCGCUUCUAAUAGUCCAUUGACUUGGACAAUACUUUUAUGAUCUGAUCUCAAAUCAGGUAGGACUACCCGCUGAACUUAAGC